This 1319-nucleotide unclassified non-coding RNA is filed under the name Hevea brasiliensis (rubber tree). Lineage: Eukaryota; Viridiplantae; Streptophyta; Magnoliopsida; Malpighiales; Euphorbiaceae. The record is from RNAcentral.
UAUAUAUAUAUAUACACACACACUGUAAAGGUAAUGUCACACCCCUUGAUUUGAGCAUUUUAGUAGAUGGACCUUCAGUACAUGAUGUAUCAUAACCCCUUAUUAUGUAGAUGCUAAAUCAUGGAGUAGAAACCUCAUAACAACAAAUCAUUGAAUGAGGAGAAUGAAGCAAGGAAGCCAGCAUGUAAUUUUCAGUCAAAUGCAAGUUGUGAUAACACAAUAAAAAAAAUCAUAUAGACCAAAGAAUACAAUUGCCGUUACAAUAUAACAAGGGAGACAAAAGGCUCAAACAUGACUACUGCACUGCACAUUGGACGUGCCAACGACAAGAGGAGAAAGAAGUUGCUAUCACCCCUUUGCCGAUAAACAGUAAAAGGCACACAUUGAUCAUCAGAAUCAAAUCAACAAAGUAAUAGUCAACAGAGAAUUAAGAACUCACAAUGUGAACUCUCAAUCCCAAAGUAUAAGUAAACGGAUUUGAAAAACCACAACAGGAAGGAGACUUGGAGUACAUCUCUCUGGCAAACCGUGUGGACCGUGGAAUAAUAGGUCAGACAUAAUACAUGAGAAAUUUUUUCAAAAAAAAUUAACAUACAUAAUGGCCCAGAUUGUUGUUGGCUGUUGCCUCAAGGUUAAACUGUAUAUGCUUCCUUCAGAGGAAAAUCUCAUGUUAAAAAACAAGAGAUGAUACCUGAAUAACUUGUGAAACCCCUUCUAAAAACUUUCCUGAUAAGGAUCCAACUUCAAUAAAGAAACAAUAACUAGCAAAAAGAGCUCCUAGAUCAUGAGCAUGUCAAAGUCAAAGUGACUAAUCUACAAAUCAUAAAGUAUCCUUGAGUUACAUACUAGAAAAGGUAAUUAAUACACACUUUUAAACUUGAAGACUGCAAGCUUCCAGGAUUUAAAUGCAAUAGUACCAAAUAUCAUAAGAAAGAGCAGCAGAACAGCAAAGCAAGAAGCAUACUUUACCAAGAACACAAAUCCACAUCCAUCAAAGCUUGACAUAUCCAAAGCAAAGUGUGGAAUAAGCCCAAUAUCUAGGUCAUGCUAGGUCAGUAGCCUAGAAUGAAAUAACGCAGAAGCAGCAGCAAUCUACAGCAGCAUCAAACAUGGAAAAUUCAGGCACAAAAGCAUUUCCGCCUACACUUUUCAACAAUAUCAACCUCAUUUUAGAGACUCAGACCUUCAAGAAACUAUACUGAAAUGAGAGCGUUUGCUCUAUUUUAUUUCAUAACUUUCUGGUUUAGAAAAGCCAUUGCAUUUUGGAGUUAGGUUUUUAUUUUCAGUAUUUGAUCAGCAUUACACAUUUCCGAGAAUUU